Non-coding RNA from Caenorhabditis elegans, 111 nucleotides. NCBI's taxonomy places the organism in Eukaryota, Metazoa, Nematoda, Chromadorea, Rhabditida, Rhabditidae. The record is from Ensembl.
AAGCUUAAGCCUAAGCCUAAGCCUAAGCCUAAGCCUAAGCCUAAGCCUAAGCCUAAGCCUAAGCCUAAGCCUAAGCCUAAGCCUAAGCCUAAAGCUAAGCUUAAGACUAAG